UACAGCGGGUGCGAGCGUUAAUCGGAAUUACUGGGCGUAAAGCGCACGUAGGUGGCGACGUAAGUCGGGUGUGAAAGCCCCGGGCUCAACCUGGGAAUUGCAUUCGAGACUGCAUUGCUGGAGUACGGAAGAGGAGGGCGGAAUUCCCGGUGUAGCGGUGAAAUGCGUAGAUAUCGGGAGGAACAUCAGUGGCGAAGGCUGCCCUCUGGUCCAGUACUGACACUCAAGUGCGAAAGCGUGGGGAGCAAGCAGG
Molecule: ribosomal RNA, 253 nt
Filed under: uncultured bacterium
Lineage: Bacteria
Description: partial 16S ribosomal RNA
Rfam family: Bacterial small subunit ribosomal RNA
Source: RNAcentral